RNAcentral lists this ribosomal RNA (495 nucleotides) under uncultured bacterium. RNAcentral's name for it is "partial 16S ribosomal RNA". It matches the Rfam family "Bacterial small subunit ribosomal RNA", at positions 28 to 505 of the family's 1533-position model. The record is from RNAcentral.
GACGAACGCUGGCGGCGUGCCUAAUACAUGCAAGUUGAGCGAUGAAGAUUGGUGCUUGCACCAAUUUGAAGAGCAGCGAACGGGUGAGUAACGCGUGGGGAAUCUGCCUUUGAGCGGGGGACAACAUUUGGAAACGAAUGCUAAUACCGCAUAACAACUUUAAACAUAAGUUUUAAGUUUGAAAGAUGCAAUUGCAUCACUCAAAGAUGAUCCCGCGUUGUAUUAGCUAGUUGGUGAGGUAAAGGCUCACCAAGGCGAUGAUACAUAGCCGACCUGAGAGGGUGAUCGGCCACAUUGGGACUGAGACACGGCCCAAACUCCUACGGGAGGCAGCAGUAGGGAAGCUUCGGCAAGGGACGAAAGUCUGACCGAGCAACGCCGGGUGAGUGAAGAAGGUUUUCGGAUCGUAAAACUCUGUUGGUAGAGAAGAACGGUGGUGAGAGUGGAAAGCUCAUCAAGUGACGGUAACUACCCAGAAAGGGACGGCUAACUACG